UACGAAGGGGGCUAGCGUUGUUCGGAAUUACUGGGCGUAAAGCGCGCGUAGGCUGUCUUGCAAGUCAGUGGUGAAAUCCCGGAGCUUAACUUCGGAACUGCCAUUGAAACUGCAAGACUGGAAUCUCAGAGGGGAUAGCGGAAUUCCAAAUGUAGGGGUGAAAUCCGUAGAUAUUUGGAGGAACACCGGUGGCGAAGGCGGCUAUCUGGAUGAGUAUUGACGCUGAGGCGCGAAAGUGUGGGGAUCAAACAGG
This 253-nucleotide ribosomal RNA is filed under the name uncultured bacterium. Its description in RNAcentral is "partial 16S ribosomal RNA". It matches the Rfam family "Bacterial small subunit ribosomal RNA", at positions 524 to 776 of the family's 1533-position model. The record is from RNAcentral.